RNAcentral lists this long non-coding RNA (484 nucleotides) under Nicotiana benthamiana. Its description in RNAcentral is "long non-coding RNA (NBEN_LNC023174)". The record is from RNAcentral. Lineage: Eukaryota; Viridiplantae; Streptophyta; Magnoliopsida; Solanales; Solanaceae.
UUCCAUACAAAACAACAAAAUAAAACUAAGAUUGCCAGAAUGUUAGUUGAAAUAAGAAAGAGAACAAAUUACUGAAUACUUUCUUUUCAAAUGUGAAAUUCGAAUCGAUUUGACCCCAACGGGCUACUGAUUGAACUACGAACCAACUACUUCGAUGAAUUAAACCUCGACCUUGCAACUCGCCAGAUUUCUCGCUGGAUUCGACUCGAUUGAGCUUGGACAGAAACAAGAUGGUAAAACUCGCCAGAUUUCUCUUUGUUGACAAUGAAGAAAGCUUAGCUUCCAUCCAUGAAAAUAGGCUGAAGAUUCAUGGUAUGUGUGUCAUUGGAUGCUUUUUGUUGAAGAAGAAGAUCUAAGUUUUCGGAAGGGGGGGGGGGGGUCGUUUUUCUGCUGCGCUUUUGUUUUGAAGAGAGGGUCUCCUGCGUUUGAGUCCUUAGGCGAGGAGAAAGCUGCUUGAUUUUGUUUCAACUUCUUCAGGUUUUUC